GGACGAACGCUGGCGGCGUGCUUACCACAUGCAAGUCGAACGGAAAGGCCCUGCUUGCAGGGUACUCGAGUGGCGAACGGGUGAGUAACACGUGGGUGAUCUGCCCUGCACUUCGGGAUAAGCCUGGGAAACUGGGUCUAAUACCGGAUAGGAGCCAUUUUUAGUGUGAUGGUUGGAAAGUUUUUUCGGUGUAGGAUGAGCUCGCGGCCUAUCAGCUUGUUGGUGGGGUAAUGGCCUACCAAGGCGGCGACGGGUAGCCGGCCUGCGAGGGUGGACGGCCACAUUGGGACUGAGAUACGGCCCAGACUCCUACGGGAGGCAGCAGUGGGGAAUAUUGCACAAUGGGCGCAAGCCUGAUGCAGCGACGCCGCGUGGGGGAUGACGGCCUUCGGGUUGUAAACUCCUUUCGCUAGGGACGAAGCUUUUUGUGACGGUACCUAGAUAAGAAGCACCGGCUAACUACGUG
RNAcentral lists this ribosomal RNA (466 nucleotides) under uncultured bacterium. RNAcentral's name for it is "partial 16S ribosomal RNA". It matches the Rfam family "Bacterial small subunit ribosomal RNA", at positions 27 to 507 of the family's 1533-position model. The record is from RNAcentral.